GACGAACGCUGGCGGCGUGCCUAAUACAUGCAAGUCGAGCGGACCAAACAGGAGCUUGCUCUUGUUUGGUUAGCGGCGGACGGGUGAGUAGCACGUGGGUAACCUGCCCGUAAGACCGGGAUAACUCCGGGAAACCGGAGCUAAUACCGGAUAACACCGAAGACCGCAUGGUCUUUGGUUGAAAGGCGGCUUCGGCUGCCACUUACGGAUGGGCCCGCGGCGCAUUAGCUAGUUGGUGAGGUAACGGCUCACCAAGGCGACGAUGCGUAGCCGGCCUGAGAGGGUGACCGGCCACACUGGGACUGAGACACGGCCCAGACUCCUACGGGAGGCAGCAGUAGGGAAUCUUCCGCAAUGGACGAAAGUCUGACGGAGCGACGCCGCGUGAGCGAAGAAGGUCUUCGGAUCGUAAAGCUCUGUUGUUAGGGAAGAAGAAGCGCCGUUCGAACAGGGCGGCGCGGUGACGGUACCUAACGAGAAAGCCCCGGCUAACUACGUG
Molecule: ribosomal RNA, 499 nt
Filed under: uncultured bacterium
Lineage: Bacteria
Description: partial 16S ribosomal RNA
Rfam family: Bacterial small subunit ribosomal RNA
Source: RNAcentral